RNAcentral lists this ribosomal RNA (333 nucleotides) under uncultured bacterium. Its description in RNAcentral is "partial 16S ribosomal RNA". It matches the Rfam family "Bacterial small subunit ribosomal RNA", at positions 338 to 682 of the family's 1533-position model. The record is from RNAcentral.
CCUACGGGUGGCUGCAGUCGAGAAUCAUUCACAAUGGGGGAAACCCUGAUGGGGCGACGCCGCGUGGGGGAAUGAAGGUCUGCGGAUUGUAAACCCCUGUCAUGUGGGAGCAAAUUAAAAAGAUAGUACCACAAGAGGAAGAGACGGCUAACGCUGUGCCAGCAGCCGCGGUAAGACAGAGGUCUCAAGCGUUGGUCGGAACCACUGGGCGUAAAGCGUGCGUAGGCGGUUUCGUAAGUCGUGUGUGAAAGGCGCGGGCUCCACCCGCGGACGGCACAUGAGACUGCGAGACUAGAGUAAUGGUGUGGUAACCGGACUUCUCGGUGUAGCCGU